GUCUCAUCAAAUUCUGUCAUAUUUACAACGAUGCGUGAACAAAACAGACAUAAUAGGUAAAAUUGUCAAAAUAUGGGUACAACAGUCUAAUAUUAAUACUAAUCGGUACUAAUAUUGAUAUAACAAAAACACCGCUAUGAUAUUUUAAAAGUAUCGCAUUGAUAUUUUAAAAGUAUCGCAUUGUUUAUUUAUGUAUAUAAGAAAAACACAGCACUUCAAAUUUAACACUGACAUAAACUUAAGCUUCUAACUAACUUCUGC
This 261-nucleotide long non-coding RNA is filed under the name Mytilus galloprovincialis (Mediterranean mussel). The record is from RNAcentral. Lineage: Eukaryota; Metazoa; Mollusca; Bivalvia; Mytilida; Mytilidae.